RNAcentral lists this transfer RNA (75 nucleotides) under Sphaerodactylus townsendi. RNAcentral describes it as "tRNA-Ala". It matches the Rfam family "tRNA". From Rfam's summary of the family: Transfer RNA (tRNA) molecules are approximately 80 nucleotides in length. Their secondary structure includes four short double-helical elements and three loops (D, anti-codon, and T loops). Lineage: Eukaryota; Metazoa; Chordata; Lepidosauria; Squamata; Sphaerodactylidae. The record is from RNAcentral.
GGAGGGGCCAUGGCUCAGUGGUAGAAUGUCUGUUUGGCAUCCAGAAGGUCUCGGGUUCUACCCCUGACAUCUCCA